CACGUAGGCGGCUUUGUAAGUCGGAUGUGAAAGCCCCGGGCUUAACCUGGGAAUUGCAUCCGAGACUGCAUGGCUAGAGUAAAGGAGAGGGAAGUGGAAUUUCCGGUGUAGCGGUGAAAUGCGUAGAUAUCGGAAGGAACACCAGUGGCGAAGGCGACUUCCUGGCCUAUUACUGACGCUGAGGUGCGAAAGCGUGGGGAGCAAACA
This 207-nucleotide ribosomal RNA is filed under the name uncultured bacterium. RNAcentral describes it as "partial 16S ribosomal RNA". It matches the Rfam family "Bacterial small subunit ribosomal RNA", at positions 568 to 774 of the family's 1533-position model. The record is from RNAcentral.